UACGUAGGGUGCAAGCGUUGUCCGGAAUUAUUGGGCGUAAAGCGUCCGCAGGUGGCACUUCAAGUCUGUCGUCAAAGACUGGGGCUUAACCCUGGAAAGGCGGUGGAAACUGAAGCGCUAGAGUGCGGUAGGGGUAGAGGGAAUUCCCGGUGUAGCGGUGAAAUGCGUAGAGAUCGGGAAGAACAUCGGUGGCGAAAGCGCUCUACUGGACCGCAACUGACACUCAGGGACGAAAGCUAGGGGAGCGAAUGGG
RNAcentral lists this ribosomal RNA (253 nucleotides) under uncultured bacterium. RNAcentral describes it as "partial 16S ribosomal RNA". It matches the Rfam family "Bacterial small subunit ribosomal RNA", at positions 524 to 776 of the family's 1533-position model. The record is from RNAcentral.